Molecule: ribosomal RNA, 509 nt
Filed under: Pantoea sp. N2.32
Lineage: Bacteria; Pseudomonadati; Pseudomonadota; Gammaproteobacteria; Enterobacterales; Erwiniaceae
Description: bacterial SSU rRNA
Rfam family: Bacterial small subunit ribosomal RNA
Source: RNAcentral
CGGAGCUAACGCGUUAAGUCGACCGCCUGGGGAGUACGGCCGCAAGGUUAAAACUCAAAUGAAUUGACGGGGGCCCGCACAAGCGGUGGAGCAUGUGGUUUAAUUCGAUGCAACGCGAAGAACCUUACCUACUCUUGACAUCCAGAGAACUUACCAGAGAUGGAUUGGUGCCUUCGGGAACUCUGAGACAGGUGCUGCAUGGCUGUCGUCAGCUCGUGUUGUGAAAUGUUGGGUUAAGUCCCGCAACGAGCGCAACCCUUAUCCUUUGUUGCCAGCGGUUCGGCCGGGAACUCAAAGGAGACUGCCAGUGAUAAACUGGAGGAAGGUGGGGAUGACGUCAAGUCAUCAUGGCCCUUACGAGUAGGGCUACACACGUGCUACAAUGGCGCAUACAAAGAGAAGCGACCUCGCGAGAGCAAGCGGACCUCAUAAAGUGCGUCGUAGUCCGGAUUGGAGUCUGCAACUCGACUCCAUGAAGUCGGAAUCGCUAGUAAUCGUAGAUCAGAAUG